AUGCUUUCAAAUAAUGCAUAUUCUAGGUUCAAUUGGAUUAUUUUUUCUCUCUCAAAACAGGGCAGCAUCAUGCUAACCAGUCCAUUGUUUGCCACCUUGGCAUAUGCCCCUGUUAUCUGUACCCAUUGUCUCCAUGACGGUAGCGAACAAAAUGAAGAUAAUGAUGAGAACGAGGUGGAGAUAAUCUGCAAUACAUGCAACGGUCUCUUCACUGACUACAACAUGGCCAUAAUCGAGGCUAUAUGGCCCCGCUUAGGUGACCUACGCAGUGCUGACCAACGUCGUCGAAGGAUGGGUCACUGUCAAACAGGGUUCAUCGGGGUGAACACGACGACCCCACCGUUGGAUCCGAAGCCCUCUCCACUGCUUCCUUCCCCUCUCACUAGAUCUAGGGGAUGCCGCCAUCGAUCCAUGCCCUCCGGUCAAGAAACCCUAGCCACCACCGCUGCUAGCAAUCGGAAUCAUCGACCCGGGGCCACCUUCUCAGGAUCCGGCUGUCGCGAGCCCGCCAGCGCCGGAUCCGGCCUUUGCAAGCCUGCCAGUGGUAGUGGAGGAGGAGCUGCCAAGGCGCUCGGUGGCUGCUCCCGCUACCAUUACGCGCAAACAGUCGGGGUCAUCGUCAUUGUUGAGGGGAACCUCGUGCUAACUGGCCCAUCUUUUGCCAUCUCGGUGUAUGUCGGCAUUGACCUGAUCAAUCUCCAUGACGGUAGCCAAGAAGAAGAAGAUGACGAUGAGGAAGAUAACGUUGGGGAGAUAUUCUGCAAUACCUGCACCUGUGACUUCACCGACUACAACAGUGCCAUAGUCGAGACGGUCAUCACAUGGUAUGGCCCAGCUGAGGUGACCUAUGUUGUGCUGACCAACGCCUUCCAAUGAUAUAUAGGCU
This 886-nucleotide long non-coding RNA is filed under the name Oryza sativa Indica Group (long-grained rice). RNAcentral's name for it is "lncRNA OsZS97_11G004370". Lineage: Eukaryota; Viridiplantae; Streptophyta; Magnoliopsida; Poales; Poaceae. The record is from RNAcentral.